RNAcentral lists this long non-coding RNA (228 nucleotides) under Erythranthe guttata (spotted monkey flower). Its description in RNAcentral is "long non-coding RNA (EGUT_LNC003498)". Lineage: Eukaryota; Viridiplantae; Streptophyta; Magnoliopsida; Lamiales; Phrymaceae. The record is from RNAcentral.
AAAUGCUCUGAAUGUCGGAACUGGGGGGAACACCCCGGUAUGGGUUAUGGGUCGGGUUGGUGAUAUUAACAGCUUGAUAGGUAGGAAUUCUAUGAUCCUUGUUCAAGGGAUAUGUUAUUUUUCUUGUUCAAGGUACAUGUGUUUAAGAUCUCUGUUUGGUAGAUUUGCAUGAGUCUUGAGACUUAUGGUUACUGUAUUGAUUUAUUAAUGAAAUAUAAUGGUGUAUUG